AACGCUAGCUACAGGCUUAACACAUGCAAGUCGAGGGGCAGCGCAGUGUAGCAAUACAUGGGUGGCGACCGGCGCACGGGUGCGUAACGCGUAUCCAACCUUCCCGUUACUCAGGGAUAGCCUUCCGAAAGGGAGAUUAAUACCUGAUGGUGUUUGAAUUCCGCAUGUUAUUCAAACUAAAGAUUUAUCGGUAACGGAUGGGGAUGCGUGACAUUAGAUAGUAGGCGGGGUAACGGCCCACCUAGUCUACGAUGUCUAGGGGUUCUGAGAGGAAGGUCCCCCACACUGGAACUGAGACACGGUCCAGACUCCUACGGGAGGCAGCAGUGAGGAAUAUUGGUCAAUGGUCGGAAGACUGAACCAGCCAAGUAGCGUGAAGGAUGAAGGUUCUAUGGAUUGUAAACUUCUUUUAUACGGGAAUAAAACCUCCCACGUGUGGGAGCUUGUAUGUACCGUAUGAAUAAGCAUCGGCUAACUCCGUGCCAGCAGCCGCGGUAAUACGGAGGAUGCGAGCGUUAUCCGGAUUUAUUGGGUUUAAAGGGAGCGUAGACGGGAGAUUAAGUCAGUUGUGAAAGGCUGCGGCUCAACCGCAGCACUGCAGUUGAUACUGGUUUCCUUGAGUGCGGUUGAGGUGUAUGGAAUUCGUGGUGUAGCGGUGAAAUGCUUAGAUAUCACGAAGAACUCCGAUUG
RNAcentral lists this ribosomal RNA (690 nucleotides) under uncultured bacterium. RNAcentral's name for it is "bacterial SSU rRNA". It matches the Rfam family "Bacterial small subunit ribosomal RNA", at positions 32 to 715 of the family's 1533-position model. The record is from RNAcentral.